RNAcentral lists this ribosomal RNA (414 nucleotides) under uncultured microorganism. RNAcentral describes it as "bacterial SSU rRNA". It matches the Rfam family "Archaeal small subunit ribosomal RNA", at positions 459 to 872 of the family's 1478-position model. The record is from RNAcentral.
CAGCAGCCGCGGUAAUACCGGCGGCCCGAGUGGCGGUCACUAUUAUUGGGCUUAAAGCGUCCGUAGCCGGGUUGGGAAGUCCUCCGGGAAAUCUGGCCGCUUAACGGUCAGAAUGCCGGAGGAUACUCCCAGCCUAGGGAGCGGGAGAGGCCGAGGGGAUUCCCGGAGUAGGGGGGAAAUCCUAUAAUCCCGGGAGGACCACCUGUGGCGAAGGCGCUCGGCUGGAACGCGUCCGACGGUGAGGGACGAAGGCCAGGGGAGCAAACCGGAUUAGAUACCCGGGUAGUCCUGGCGGUAAACGAUGCGAACUUUGUGUCGGACAAGCUAUGAGCUUGUCCGGUGCCGGAGGGAAACCGUUAAGUCCGCCGCCUGGGGAGUACGGCCGCAAGGCUGAAACUUAAAGGAAUUGGCGGG